This 229-nucleotide ribosomal RNA is filed under the name uncultured bacterium. RNAcentral's name for it is "partial 16S ribosomal RNA". It matches the Rfam family "Bacterial small subunit ribosomal RNA", at positions 568 to 796 of the family's 1533-position model. The record is from RNAcentral.
UGCGUAGGCGGAAAAUUAAGUCAGUGAUGAAAUCCUGCAGCUCAACUGUAGAACUGUCAUUGAUACUGAUUUUCUUGAAUUUAGUUGAGGUAGGCGGAAUGUGUAGUGUAGCGGUGAAAUGCUUAGAUAUUACACAGAACACCGAUUGCGAAGGCAGCUUACUAAGCUAACAUUGACGCUGAGGCACGAAAGCGUGGGGAGCGAACAGGAUUAGAUACCCUGGUAGUCC